UGGAGCACAUGGAAAAGAAAUUAGAAAAAGGAAAAUGACGUGGAAAUAAAAUGGGAUAGGAUUGAGGAAGUAUUGUCCGUUCAUGCUGACCGACAUCGUUCACCGGCUGAACAUCGUUCGACGUUUGAACCCUAGAGAGAAGGACAACCUAGCCACCCACCUAGAUCCGUGCCUCUUCCCACUUGCCUAGCCGUCAUUGUCAGAGUUUGCAUUCCUGUUGAGUGUCGUCGUUGACGUACGUUGUAUCGUCGUCCCUACCACCCACCAACAAGCUUUCGUCUUCAUUGAAGGUUGGCCGCCAUUGCCGGAAUUUGAAGUUGGACGUAGUGUCGCCGUUGCAAUGUUGUAGGCACCGCCUUUCCGCGUUUUGCAACGAAGGAACUUGGAAACCGCCAUUGGAGGUGAUUUUUGAAUGUUUCCAAUGUUUGUUUCGAUAAUGCAUUUUUUGUGUUGGGUUGGUUUAGUUUGUUUAAAAAUUGU
This 480-nucleotide long non-coding RNA is filed under the name Vigna radiata. Its description in RNAcentral is "long non-coding RNA (VRAD_LNC010422)". The record is from RNAcentral. Lineage: Eukaryota; Viridiplantae; Streptophyta; Magnoliopsida; Fabales; Fabaceae.